GGGUGCUUAGCUCAGUCGGUAGAGCGGCGCCCUUACAAGGCGUAGGUCGGGGGUUCGAACCCCUCAGCACCCACCA
Molecule: transfer RNA, 76 nt
Filed under: Pseudideonella sakaiensis
Lineage: Bacteria; Pseudomonadati; Pseudomonadota; Betaproteobacteria; Burkholderiales; Sphaerotilaceae
Also listed under: 5 other names
Description: Piscinibacter sakaiensis tRNA-Val
Rfam family: tRNA
About the family: Transfer RNA (tRNA) molecules are approximately 80 nucleotides in length. Their secondary structure includes four short double-helical elements and three loops (D, anti-codon, and T loops).
Source: RNAcentral